Molecule: ribosomal RNA, 484 nt
Filed under: uncultured bacterium
Lineage: Bacteria
Description: partial 16S ribosomal RNA
Rfam family: Bacterial small subunit ribosomal RNA
Source: RNAcentral
AUUGAACGCUGGCGGCAGGCCUAACACAUGCAAGUCGAGCGGAUGAAGGGAGCUUGCUCCUGGAUUCAGCGGCGGACGGGUGAGUAAUGCCUAGGAAUCUGCCUGGUAGUGGGGGAUAACGUCCGGAAACGGGCGCUAAUACCGCAUACGUCCUGAGGGAGAAAGUGGGGGAUCUUCGGACCUCGCGCUAUCAGAUGAGCCUAGGUCGGAUUAGCUAGUUGGUGGGGUAAAGGCCUACCAAGGCGACGAUCCGUAACUGGUCUGAGAGGAUGAUCAGUCGCACUGGAACUGAGACACGGUCCAGACUCCUACGGGAGGCAGCAGUGGGGAAUAUUGGACAAUGGGCGAAAGCCUGAUCCAGCCAUGCCGCGUGUGUGAAGAAGGUCUUCGGAUUGUAAAGCACUUUAAGUUGGGAGGAAGGGCAGUAAGUUAAUACCUUGCUGUUUUGACGUUACCAACAGAAUAAGCACCGGCUAACUUCGUG